This 73-nucleotide transfer RNA is filed under the name Gomphillus americanus. Its description in RNAcentral is "tRNA-Arg". It matches the Rfam family "tRNA". Rfam says of the family: Transfer RNA (tRNA) molecules are approximately 80 nucleotides in length. Their secondary structure includes four short double-helical elements and three loops (D, anti-codon, and T loops). Further hydrogen bonds mediate the characteristic L-shaped molecular structure. tRNAs have two regions of fundamental functional importance: the anti-codon, which is responsible for specific mRNA codon recognition, and the 3' end, to which the tRNAs corresponding amino acid is attached (by aminoacyl-tRNA synthetases). tRNAs cope with the degeneracy of the genetic code in two manners: having more than one tRNA (with a specific anti-codon) for a particular amino acid; and 'wobble' base-pairing, i.e. permitting non-standard base-pairing at the 3rd anti-codon position. Lineage: Eukaryota; Fungi; Ascomycota; Lecanoromycetes; Ostropales; Graphidaceae. The record is from RNAcentral.
GCCUUUUUGGCCAAAUAGGUAAGGCAUGAUACUUCUGAUAUCAAAAUUCUAGGUUCGAUUCCUAGAAGAGGUU